UACGAAGGGGGCUAGCGUUGCUCGGAAUGACUGGGCGUAAAGGGCGCGUAGGCGGAUGGCACAGUCAGAUGUGAAAUUCCUGGGCUUAACCUGGGGGCUGCAUUUGAUACGUGUGAUCUAGAGUGAGGAAGAGGGUUGUGGAAUUCCCAGUGUAGAGGUGAAAUUCGUAGAUAUUGGGAAGAACACCGGUGGCGAAGGCGGCGACCUGGUCCGAUACUGACGCUGAGGCGCGAAAGCGUGGGGAGCAAACAGG
This 253-nucleotide ribosomal RNA is filed under the name uncultured bacterium. Its description in RNAcentral is "partial 16S ribosomal RNA". It matches the Rfam family "Bacterial small subunit ribosomal RNA", at positions 524 to 776 of the family's 1533-position model. The record is from RNAcentral.